CAGUCGCCGCGGUAACACGUAGGGUGCGAGCGUUAAUCGGAAUUACUGGGCGUAAAGCGUGCGCAGGCGGUUUUGUAAGACAGGCGUGAAAUCCCCGGGCUCAACCUGGGAAUGGCGCUUGUGACUGCAAAGCUAGAGUGCGGCAGAGGGGGAUGGAAUUCCGCGUGUAGCAGUGAAAUGCGUAGAUAUGCGGAGGAACACCGAUGGCGAUGGCAAUCCCCUGGGCCUGCACUGACGCUCAUGCGCGAAAGCGUGGGGAGCAAACAGGAUUAGAUACCCCAGUAGUCCCUGUCUCUUAUAC
This 301-nucleotide ribosomal RNA is filed under the name uncultured bacterium. RNAcentral's name for it is "partial 16S ribosomal RNA". It matches the Rfam family "Bacterial small subunit ribosomal RNA", at positions 509 to 807 of the family's 1533-position model. The record is from RNAcentral.